AUGGGACUCUCAAGCGCCGUGACAUGGUGGGAGGAGUGGCAGCUGCGCAUCCUCCCACCGGUAUACACUGAGUGUAAGUGUGAAGACUAUGUUCGAGCAGCAAAGAGGUGUGUAGUGGACACACCGGUAUACACUGAGUGUAAGUGUGAUAUGAAUCGUAUGUUUGUCGAUCAGUAUGCUCCAUACUCUGUUCGAAUUGAAGGGUUGACGUCUUUUCUGAAGCUUGAUUAUAAGGAUGCAUACAGUGAGUUGCAGAAGGGUCUAGGAAAAACGUUUGAUGGCAUGUACACCCGAGUUGGGUCAAUUAACACUGGACUUGGCGCUGGCUCAUUUCUUUUGCUUCCGUUCCUAGCCUUAGCUUCUAUUGUGCUCUUUGCCACGAGCGGCAAGGAUGGUCAGAACGAAAAGGACAUUAGGGUGACAUACAUCCUAUUAUGUAGUACCACCGUGUUGGAGCUCUGGUAUCCCUUAUUGCUAUUCUUAUAUCUACUAGAUCCAUGUAUUUUUAAUUUCUUUAAUGGUCCUUUUGAGGGGUGGCAUGACAUGGCUUCCCAGCACAACAUCAUGUCCUUAUGUGUUCGCAAGAAGAAGCCCACAUUCCUGAUGAAAGUUGCUACCUUCAACUUUCUAAGGGAGCUUGUUAACCAACAUUUGUAUAUUCAGCAAGUACCUAUAGCCUACCAGAUCACGGGUACGGUUCGCCGGCACAUGGAAGAUGGUUGGAAGGAAUACAUACGCGACCCUGCAAGUUACAAGAGCUUCAGUGCGCUCCGAGGUCAGUUGGCGCUAAGGAUGCACCAUCAUCAGCUAGCUUGGAGCUUGAAGAUGCCUUUCGAUGAGAGCGUCCUUGUCUGGCAUGUCGCCAGAGACCUAUGCUUUUAUCAACCCAACACAUCCGCUCAAUGUCAGCAAGGAGAAGCCAAACAACGCGGCAGGGAGAUAUCCAACUAUAUGUUCUAUCUGCUUCUCAUCCGUCCUGAGAUGCUAAUGCUUGGCGCCAAAUCGUAUCUCGUCACCUUGGCCAGCGAUAAAAUUGUGGAAAACAGCAAGGGACUACUCGAACCGACAGAAGAAAGCCUGGCGCGUGAGAUUUUUAACUUGUCACCCUCUGCACCUGAUAUGGUUUCCAAUGCAUGCAAGCUUGCCAAAGCGCUGAUGGAGUUGGGUGGCGAUGAGAGGUGGACCUUGAUCCAAGGCGUGUGGGUGGAGAUGCUCUGCUAUUCCGCCAGCAGAUGCAGGGGCUACCUGCAUGCCAAGAGCUUGGGUGACGGCGGGGAGUGCCUCACCUACAUUUAUCUCCUUUGGUCGUUCAUGGGAAUGGAGACACUGGCGGAUAGGCAUCACAUGUCAGAGCCUCUUCCUUUCGAUUCCCAAGGCAGACAUGGUCAAUCUGCAGAAGGUGACAUGCCCUAG
This 1413-nucleotide ribosomal RNA is filed under the name Triticum aestivum (bread wheat). RNAcentral describes it as "partial small subunit ribosomal RNA". The record is from RNAcentral. Lineage: Eukaryota; Viridiplantae; Streptophyta; Magnoliopsida; Poales; Poaceae.